RNAcentral lists this ribosomal RNA (484 nucleotides) under uncultured bacterium. RNAcentral describes it as "partial 16S ribosomal RNA". It matches the Rfam family "Bacterial small subunit ribosomal RNA", at positions 30 to 507 of the family's 1533-position model. The record is from RNAcentral.
AUUGAACGCUGGCGGCAGGCCUAACACAUGCAAGUCGAGCGGAUGAAGGGAGCUUGCUCCUGGAUUCAGCGGCGGACGGGUGAGUAAUGCCUAGGAAUCUGCCUGGUAGUGGGGGAUAACGUCCGGAAACGGGCGCUAAUACCGCAUACGUCCUGAGGGAGAAAGUGGGGGAUCUUCGGACCUCACGCUAUCAGAUGAGCCUAGGUCGGAUUAGCUAGUUGGUGGGGUAAAGGCCUACCGAGGCGACGAUCCGUAACUGGUCUGAGAGGAUGAUCAGUCACACUGGAACUGAGACACGGUCCAGACUCCUACGGGAGGCAGCAGUGGGGAAUAUUGGACAAAGGGCGAAAGCCUGAUCCAGCCAUGCCGCGUGUGUGAAGAAGGUCUUCGGAUUGUAAAGCACUUUAAGUUGGGAGGAAGGGCAGUAAGUUAAUACCUUGCUGCUUUGACGUUACCAACAGAAUAAGCACCGGCUAACUUCGUG